This 399-nucleotide ribosomal RNA is filed under the name uncultured bacterium. RNAcentral describes it as "bacterial SSU rRNA". It matches the Rfam family "Bacterial small subunit ribosomal RNA", at positions 509 to 906 of the family's 1533-position model. The record is from RNAcentral.
CAGCAGCCGCGGUAAUACGUAGGGGGCAAGCGUUGUCCGGAUUCAUUGGGCGUAAAGAGCGUGUAGGCGGCCAGGUAGGUCGGUUGUGAAAACUGGAGGCUCAACCUUCAGAGGUCGACCGAAACCAUCUGGCUAGAGUCCGGGAGAGGAGAGUGGAAUUCCUGGUGUAGCGGUGAAAUGCGCAGAUAUCAGGAAGAACACCCGUGGCGAAAGCGGCUCUCUGGAACGGUACUGACGCUGAGACGCGAAAGCGUGGGGAGCGAACAGGAUUAGAUACCCUGGUAGUCCACGCCGUAAACGAUGGGCGCUAGGUGUGGGAGGUGUCGACUCCUUCCGUGCCGCAGCUAACGCAUUAAGCGCCCCGCCUGGGGAGUACGGCCGCAAGGCUAAAACUCAAAG